Molecule: ribosomal RNA, 460 nt
Filed under: uncultured bacterium
Lineage: Bacteria
Description: partial 16S ribosomal RNA
Rfam family: Bacterial small subunit ribosomal RNA
Source: RNAcentral
CCUACGGGAGGCAGCAGUGAGGAAUAUUGGUCAAUGGACGAGAGUCUGAACCAGCCAAGUCGCGUGAAGGACGACUGCCCUAUGGGUUGUAAACCUCUUUUAUAUGGGAAUAAUAUGUUCUACGUGUGGCAUUUUGUAUGUACCAUAUGAAUAAGGAUCGGCUAACUCCGUGCCAGCAGCCGCGGUAAUACGGAGGAUCCGAGCGUUAUCCGGAUUUAUUGGGUUUAAAGGGAGCGUAGGUGGAUUGUUAAGUCAGUUGUUAAAGUUUGCGGCUCAACCGUAAAAUUGCAGUUGAUACUGGCAGUCUUGAGUACAGUAGAGGUGGGCGGAAUACGUGGAGUAGCGGUGAAAUGCUUAGAUAUAACGAAGAACUCCGAUUGCGAAGGCAGCUCACUGGACUGCGACUGACACUGAGGCUCGAGAGUGUGGGUAUCAAACAGGAUUAGAUACCCGGGUAGUC